GGGACAGCAGCACCUUCAAAACACCACAACCUCCGAAUCUGACUUCUUAGGAGAACUUUCUUCUGUGCAGGCUGAAAAAUGCUAAUGAGGAACCUUGAGGCUCUGAAGGAGGAAGGAAGCGUAACCUCUCUGCGGGGAAGAGCCUCAGACACUGAAGAUUUCACUGCUCAACACAAAGCGGAGCCCUCACAAGAGAACAAAGACCCAAAGAAGUGACUAGAGCAAGAAUCUUUUAUACCUUUUGGACAAUGAAAAAUACAUGUGUGGAAAAUUGACAAGAUGAAGGAGUUUGGUCUCGGGCUAAUAAAUAGUGCAAUACACGGUGAA
Suricata suricatta (meerkat) is the source of this 327-nucleotide long non-coding RNA. RefSeq lists it as uncharacterized. The transcript has 3 exons. Lineage: Eukaryota; Metazoa; Chordata; Mammalia; Carnivora; Herpestidae. The record is from RefSeq and is a predicted model, not a curated record.